RNAcentral lists this ribosomal RNA (520 nucleotides) under bacterium enrichment culture clone ALO1_GLFRUDD03HIJHB. RNAcentral's name for it is "bacterial SSU rRNA". It matches the Rfam family "Bacterial small subunit ribosomal RNA", at positions 9 to 524 of the family's 1533-position model. The record is from RNAcentral.
GAGUUUGAUCUUGGCUCAGAUUGAACGCUGGCGGCAGGCCUAACACAUGCAAGUCGAGCGGAUGACGGGAGCUUGCUCCUUGAUUCGGCGGCGGACGGGUGAGUAAUGCCUAGGAAUCUGCCUGGUAGUGGGGGACAACGUUUCGAAAGGAACGCUAAUACCGCAUACGUCCUACGGGAGAAAGCAGGGGACCUUCGGGCCUUGCGCUAUCGGAUGAGCCUAGGUCGGAUUAGCUAGUUGGUGGGGUAAUGGCUCACCAAGGCGACGAUCCGUAACUGGUCUGAGAGGAUGAUCAGUCACACUGGAACUGAGACACGGUCCAGACUCCUACGGGAGGCAGCAGUGGGGAAUAUUGGACAAUGGCGAAAGCCUGAUCCAGCCAUGCCGCGUGUGUGAAGAAGGUCUUCGGAUUGUAAAGCACUUUAAGUUGGGAGGAAGGGCAGUAAGUUAAUAACCUUGCUGUUUUGACGUUACCGACAGAAUAAGCACCGGCUAACUCUGUGCCAGCCGCCGCGGUAAG